GAUGAAGAACGUAGCGAAAUGCGAUAAGUAAUGUGAAUUGCAGAAUUCAGUGAAUCAUCGAAUCUUUGAACGCACAUUGCGCCCGCCAGUAUUCUGGCGGGCAUGCCUGUUCGAGCGUCAUUACAACCCUCAGGCCCCCGGGCCUGGCGUUGGGGAUCGGCGGAGCCCCCCGUGGGCACACGCCGUCCCCCAAAUGAAGUGGCGGUCCCGCCGCAGCUUCCAUCGCGUAGUAGCUAACACCUCGCGACUGGAGAGCGGCGCGGCCACGCCGUAAAACACCCAACUCUUCUGAAGUUGACCUCGAAUCAGGUAGGAAUACCCGCUGAACUUAAGCAUAUCAAUAAGCGGAGGA
This 352-nucleotide unclassified non-coding RNA is filed under the name soil metagenome. Its description in RNAcentral is "partial contains 5.8S ribosomal RNA, internal transcribed spacer 2, and large subunit ribosomal RNA". The stretch from base 1 to 120 matches the Rfam family "5.8S ribosomal RNA", at positions 35 to 154 of the family's 154-position model. The record is from RNAcentral.